GAUCGACCUGCCAAUUCAGAUAGUGACAGUGAUGGUGGAGUAGAUCCCCCACAGUGUGCUCUGCAAGACUUCAUACGGAUCAAGGGCACAGCAGUGCAGUUGGGCUUUCAGUGAAAUGCCCAGACCACAGUGGACCGCCAGACAUCUCCAGGUCUCGAGCUGAAGGUCCAGUCCAG
Dicentrarchus labrax (European seabass) is the source of this 176-nucleotide long non-coding RNA. RefSeq lists it as uncharacterized. The record is from RefSeq and is a predicted model, not a curated record. Lineage: Eukaryota; Metazoa; Chordata; Actinopteri; Moronidae. The transcript has 3 exons.